GUCCCGCCUGCCCUGUGGCCCCGUGUUUAACGGCCGCGGUAUUUUAACCGUGCUAAGGUAGCGUAAUCACUUGUCUUUUAAAUGAAGACCCGUAUGAAUGGCAUCACGAGGGCUUUACUGUCUCCUUUUUCCAGUCAAUGAAAUUGAUCUUCCCGUGCAGAAGCGGGAAUAAUCACAUAAGACGAGAAGACCCUGUGGAGCUUUAGAUGCUAGGACAGACCACGCCACAAAACCCUAUUUAAAGGACCAAGCUAGUCGGACCCUGCCCUAAUUUCUUCGGUUGGGGCGACCACGGAGCAACACAAAACCCCCGCGCGGAAUAAGAAUACUAUAACUUAAAAACAAGAGCAACAGCUCUAAUUAACAGAAACUCUGACCACAACAGAUCCGGCAACGCCGAUCAACGGACCAAGUUACCCCAGGGAUAACAGCGCAAUCCCCUUUUAGAGCCCAUAUCGACAGGGGGGUUUACGACCUCGAUGUUGGAUCAGGACAUCCCAAUGGUGCAACCGCUAUUAAGGG
RNAcentral lists this ribosomal RNA (522 nucleotides) under Calloplesiops altivelis (comet). RNAcentral describes it as "partial 16S large subunit ribosomal RNA". It matches the Rfam family "Bacterial large subunit ribosomal RNA", at positions 1852 to 2571 of the family's 2925-position model. The record is from RNAcentral. Lineage: Eukaryota; Metazoa; Chordata; Actinopteri; Plesiopidae.